UGUAAGACAGGUGCUGCAUGGCUGUCGUCAGCUCGUGUUGUGAAAUGUUGGGUUAAGUCCCGGCAACGAGCGCAACCCUUAUCCUAGUUGCCAGCGAUUCGGUCGGGAACUCUAGGGAGACUGCCGGUGAUAAACCGGAAGAAGGUGGGGACGACGUCAAGUCAUCAUGGCCCUUACGAGUAGGGCUACACACGUGCUACAAUGGUAUGUACAGAGGGAGGCAAGCUGGCGACAGUGAGCGGAUCUCUUAAAGCAUAUCGUAGUCCGGAUUGGAGUCUGCAACUCGACUCCAUGAAGUCGGAAUCGCUAGUAAUCGCAAAUCAGAAUGUUGCGGUGAAUACGUUCCCGGGCCUU
This 354-nucleotide ribosomal RNA is filed under the name uncultured Alishewanella sp. RNAcentral describes it as "bacterial SSU rRNA". It matches the Rfam family "Bacterial small subunit ribosomal RNA", at positions 1028 to 1382 of the family's 1533-position model. The record is from RNAcentral. Lineage: Bacteria; Pseudomonadati; Pseudomonadota; Gammaproteobacteria; Alteromonadales; Alteromonadaceae.